AGAGUUUGAUCCUGGCUCAGAUUGAACGCUGGCGGCAUGCCUAACACAUGCAAAGUCGAACGGUAGCAGGGCCUUCGGGUGCUGACGAGUGGCGGACGGGUGAGUAAUGCGUAGGAAUCUGUCUUUUAGUGGGGGACGAACCCAGGGAACUUGGCGUAAUACCGCAUGAGCCCUCGAGGGGGAAAGCGGGGAGUCUUCGGACCUCGCGCUAAGAGAAGAGCCUACGUCUGAUUAGCUAGUUGGUAGGGUAAAGGCCUACCAAGCGACGAUCAGUAGCUGGUCUGAGAGGACGACCAGCCACACUGGGAC
Molecule: ribosomal RNA, 309 nt
Filed under: uncultured prokaryote
Description: bacterial SSU rRNA
Rfam family: Bacterial small subunit ribosomal RNA
Source: RNAcentral